ACACUGCAUCAAGAACGCAAAUGCGUACCAACCGACACGCUCGUUGCACGGUGGUUUAGAAUGUGGGGCUCCUCCCAAAAUAACGAGAAAUCCUAAAUUCUCUUGUUGCGGUUUAAUUUAAAUUGUAAUAAAAUGAAUAAAAAA
Molecule: non-coding RNA, 144 nt
Filed under: unclassified sequences
Description: SAM-I-IV sequence
Rfam family: SAM-I/IV (S-adenosyl methionine) riboswitch aptamer (bases 1-92)
About the family: It is found upstream of a number of genes which code for proteins involved in methionine or cysteine biosynthesis. It has been found mostly in the order Actinomycetales.
Source: Rfam by way of RNAcentral